Long non-coding RNA from Condylura cristata (star-nosed mole), 237 nucleotides. RefSeq lists it as uncharacterized. The transcript is spliced from 3 exons. The record is from RefSeq and is a predicted model, not a curated record. Lineage: Eukaryota; Metazoa; Chordata; Mammalia; Eulipotyphla; Talpidae.
UCGUGAUCCGCGGGGACAGGAACACGGGCAAGACGGCGCUGUGGCACCGGCUGCAGGGCGGGCGCUUCGUGGAGGAGUACAUCCCCACGCCCGAGAUCCAGGUCGCCAGCAUCCACUGGAGCUACAAAACCACGGAUGACAUCGUCAAAGUGGAGGUCUGGGACGUGGUGGACAAAGGAAAAUGUAAAAAGCGGGGCGAGGGCCUGAAGACGGGGUACGAGCCCCAGGAGGUGAGCU